CUCUCCACCUUGGAACCUUGUCCAUCUUCUGCUUGAAAUUUCUUUCAAGCUCAGCAAACGCAUUCCCAAAACUCCCUGUCUGUUCGUCAACAUCGGACGGGUCCACAUGAUAGAAAACUGGUAAAACAAUCUGCCCAUAUGCCUUCUUGCAUUCAAGUAUCUUCACCAGUUCAUCCACACACCAUGGAGAAGAUGCAUAGUUUCUUGAGAAUAUUAUCACUGAAAUUCUCGAUUCUUCAAUUGUUCUCAAAAGUGCACCCGUAAUUUCUUCUCCUCUUUCAAGCCCAUCGUCAAUGAAGGUCUUGAUUUUCUUACGACACAAAGCAUCAUAGAGAUGGCUGGUAAAAUUAUUGCGCGUAUCCUGGCCUCUAAAACUAAGGAACACAUCAUACUUCCAUUUAUGAGCAACAGCAGGUGAAGAUUGUUGGUGGGAGGAACCACUGGUGGUGGCUUUAAAACACUCAGAGGGGAUAAAACACGAAGUUUUAUUACAAAAAACAGAAGCUUAACAAUAACAAUAAAGCUUUACAAUACACACCCUCUCUCUCUCUCUAUCUAUUGUUUUUCUCUUCUCUCCACACUUAUAAUAACCUUAGCUUAGAUGCUUAUUUAUACACAAACUCAGUCGGCUCAAAAUUCAACCGUCAUGGUGUGAAAAAUGGUUGGCGGCCAAUGGUGUGAAUGCGGCUAGGCGGUGGCAGCUGGUGGCUGGCGGCUGGUCGGUGACAGCUGGUGGCCGGUGAGGCGGUGGUUGCCUUCCUUGACCUUCUGGAUGUUGAGUUUACUAUUCAACAAAUCUCCCCCUUAAACUCAAUCGAGGGAUGUCAUGCCUAGCAUGUACUUUAAUCUGAUAAAUACUUCUCUUUUCAAUGGCUUUGUGAAGAUGUCUGCAACUUGAUCAUUUGUGUUGCAAGAUAUCAGUUGAACUUCUUCAUUCUUCACAUGUUCCCGGAUAAAGUGAUGACGUGUAUCAAUAUGUUUGCUCCUCUCAUGAUACACUGGAUUCUUUGCCAAUGCGAUUGCUGAUCGAUUGUCAAUAUAAAUCUCCGUAGGAUUUUCUUGAGGAAAUCCCAAAAACUUCAGCAUAUUCCUUAACCAUAUUGAGUGGCAUACGGCUGAGUUGGCAGCUACAUAUUCAGCUUCACAGCUUGAUAACGUGACAAUCGAUUGCUUCUUGGAUGACCAUGUGAAAGAUGUGUCUCCCAUGAAAAAGACAAACCCUGUUGUGCUUUUCCUUUCAUCCAAAUCUCUACCCCAAUCACUAUCCGAGUAGCCUACAAGAUUAAAGUCUUUACUUGAGGUAUAAAACAUACCUUCAUUCAUUGUGCCUUUGAUGUAGCGAAGAAUUCUCUUGGCUGCAUUCAAAUGAGACUGGUCUGGUGUCUCCAUGUAUCUGCUGACGAGUCCGACUCCGUAGAGUAUAUCUGGUCUGGUACAUGUCAAGUACCUUAAGCUUCCUACUAAGCUUUUGAAGUAAGUUGGAUCAACAUUUCCAACCUUACUCUUCCUCAAUUCCACUCCAUUCUCAACUGGAGUUGAUACCGGAUUGCAGCUUUCCAUCUUGAACCUUUCAAGAAUAUCUUUGGCGUAACCGCUUUGGGAUACAAAAAUCCCUUCUUCCUUCUGCGUUACUUCUAAGCCAAGAAAAUGUGACAUUAGACCAAUGUCAGUCAUUUCAAACUCCUGUACCAUGCUUGUUUGAAGUCGUCAAACAUGGUAGGGUUGUUGCCGGUGAAUAUCAAAUCAUCAACAUACAGGCACGCAAAUAAGAUGCUGCCAUCUGCUCCUUUCUUCACAUAUAUAGCGUGUUCAUAUGGACAUUUCUCAAAUCCAUUAUCUUGAAAAUACCUGUCAAUUCUGGUAUUCCAAGCACGCGGAGCUUGCUUCAAACCAUAGAGAGCCUUCUUCAACUUGUAUACUUUGCCUUCAUUUUCAGCAUCAAUGUAUCCAAGUGGUUGUUCAACAUAGAUUUCUUCUUCUAGGAAGCCAUUCAGAAAUGCUGACUUCACAUCGAGUUGAUAGAUCUUCCAUCUAUGUUGUGCAGCUAGUGAGAUCAUCAGUCUGAUUGUCUCUAGCCGGGCUACUGGAGCAAAUAUUUCUCCAUAGUCAAUGCCUUCUCUCUGUUUGUAGCCUUUAGCCACUAAUCUGGCUUUGUAUCUUUGCACUUCUCCUUUGGCAUUCUUCUUCGUCUUGUAGACCCAUUUGACACCUAUUGCUUUCUUGUUUUCUGGUAGAUAAGUCAGCUUCCAGGUAUCAUUCUUCUCAAUGGCAUGUAUUUCUUCAUCCAUUGCUGUUAUCCAUUUCUCUUCUGUGACAGCUUCAUUGAAGCUUAAUGGGUCACUAUCUGCAAAGAAACAAAAUAAAUUUGUAUCUUCCAUAACUUGAGUGGCAUCAUACAGCUCUUCAAGAUUCCGCAUCCUUCUUGGUUCUUCUGAUGAGGAUGCUGAUGGUGGUGUUGAUGAUGAUGCUCCUGGUGUAUUCCUCCUGUUGAAUACAGGGAAUCUGUGCACCGGACUUUGUGGUUCAGCUGCUGGCAUAAUCACCGGACUUUGUGGUUCAGCUGCUGGCACAAUCGGUUCUUCUAUAAGUACUGUUGGUACUUCUUCACCUUCAAGGAUCAAAUCAGUGUUGAUCCAUCUGACUGCUUCUUGAUCAUCAUUCCAUGCCCAAGAUUUAUCUUCUUCAAAGAUAACAUCUCUACUCGUAAUCACCUUCUUCGUGAUGGGAUUAUACAGCCUGUAUCCCAUCCUUCUUUCACCAUAUCCGACAAAGAUGCAUUUCUCGCUCUUAUCAUCGAGCUUUCUCCUUCUUGCAUCUGGGAUCUUUGCAUAUGCCACACAACCAAAGACUCGUAGAUGAGUAACACUUGGUUUGUGACCACUCCAUGCUUCUUCUGGAGUGACUCCUUGCAAACUUCUGGUUGGGCAGCGAUUCAACAGAUACACUGCACAUGAUACAGCUUCAGCCCAGUAUUGCUUGGGCAGCUUCUUUGCUUUGAGCAAACUUCUGGCCAUGUCAAGAAUCGUGCGAUUCUUCCUUUCUGCUACACCGUUCAGCUGUGGUGUAUAAGCUGGCGUUUGAUGUCUGAUGCCUUGUUGUGUACAAAGGCUUCAAAGUCAUUUGGCUGUAUAUUCUCCACCUUGAUCAGAUCUUACGGUUCUGAUCGUGUAACCAGUUUGCUUCUCCACAAUUGCUUUAAAAUCUUUAAAACAAUUGAAUACUUCUGACUUCCUCUUCAGAAAGUAUAUCCAUGUCUUUCUACUAAAAUCAUCAGUAAAAGUGAGGAAGUACCUAUUUUGUCCAGUCGACAUAGGCGUAAUUGGGCCACACACAUCUGUGUGUACUAACUCCAGUGGCCUCUUUGCUCUCCAGUUGACUUCUUUGGCAAAACUGGAUCUGUGAUGUUUGCUGAGGACACAACUCUCACAGACUUCAUCUGGAUGAUCAAUGUGAGGCAAACCUUUGACCAUCUUCUUGCUUGCUAGCAUCUUCAUUGUGAAAUUCAGAUGUCCAAGCCUCAGGUGCCAAAGCCAUUCUUCACUGUUGGUGAUGGCGCUCAAACACCUUGUUGCAUCAUACUGGAUGUUCAAAGGAAACAUCCUAUUCUUGGACAUUUUCACGUAGGCCAUUAAUCUCCCAUUGUUGUCUCUAAUUGCCAGAUGACAAUUCUUCGAGUAAAAAUAUAUCCUCUCUCCAACAGUUGACCUAAGCUGAUCAGGUUCUGCUUUAUGGCUGGGACAUAAUAGACAUCGGCGAUGUAGCUGGAAUCGCCAUUCUUCAACUUAACUGGGAUGCUGCCUUUACCUUUGAAUGGAACCUUUGUGGUAUCUCCAAAAGUAACUAGACCUUGCUUGGUCUCAUCUAGAUCACGAAAUAACUCUCGGUAGCCGCACAUGUGAUUGCUGGCUCCAGUAUCUAGAUACCAUAUAUCCUCAUGUUUCUCUCAUGUCCUUGUUGGACAAGAAAUGCAGUUUCUUCUCUAUCAUCCUUUCUGCAUAGUUGGCUUGCUCACGUAUCUCAACGGAGCUUUCCUUCGGCAUUCAGUGCUAUAGUGCCCAAAUUGAUUGCAGCUAUAACAUUUGAUAUUCCUCUUGUCACGGUUAUUGUAACCGCCUCCUCUUCCUCUAGGAGUGAAUGCUUGUUGUCCUCGGCCUCCUCUGGUGGUGUUUCUACCACCUCUUCCUCUGAAGCUUGUAUUCCAAGAUCCUCUUCCUCUUCCUUGGAAUCUAUGAAAUCCUCCUCUGGAUUGUUGACUUCCUGCUUGAGUGGUGUAGCCACUGUUGAAGUCUCCCCUUGCUCAUAUCUGUCUUUGAAAGACAGCUUUGCUUGUAAGGCAUGCUCAAUGGCCUUAUCUUCAUUUCGCAUUACAAUCUUCUGCUCAUGAGCUUGCAAAGAACUCAUAAGCUCAUCCACUGUCAACUUGUCCACUUCCUUGGACUCUUCAAUUGCGACAACAACAUGAUCAAAUUUUGGAUCUAUGGAUCUCAAAAUUUUCUCAAUAAUUCGAGUAUCUAUGAUGGCUUCUCCAUUUCUCCUCAUCUGAUUGACUAUCACCAUAAUCCUUGUAUGAUAAUCAGAAAUAGAUUCUGAGGACUUCAUUCGUAAUAAUUCGAAUUCUCCUCUCAAAGAUUGAAGACGAAUCUUCUUGAUUCUGUCAGCACCUUUGUAUUUCUGUUGGAGAGCCUCCCAUAUAUCAUGUGACGUUUCAGCGGAAGCUAUUAUCUCGAAUGUAUCUUCAUCAAGACCUUGAUAGAUGAUGGUCUUUGCCUUGUUGUCCUUCUUUCUGUUGACUUUCAAAGCUUGCUUCUGUGCCUCUUGUAAAGCAUCUUCUCUUUCUUUGGAUUCUGGUUCAUCAUAACCAGUUUGUACAAUAUCCAAACACUCUUGUGACCCAAGGAAUGCCUUCAAUCUGAUGCACCAACUAUCAUAGUUGUCUUUGGUCAGCUUCGGGAUGAGUGUAUGUGUACCUUCUGUAGUCAUUUUGCUCUUUGAAUGACUAUAUCACCUUCUGGGAGCCGAAUUUGCCAAACGGACACUGUAGAUCGAUCCGGAAUGGUCCAAAUAGUAGGGAACCGGUCUACUUUGUUGAAAUCGGGUCAAAAAUGGGUGAACCGGUCAAAAAACCAAUUCUGUACGGCGGGCGGUUCGCUGGGUUGAACCGGGAAUAUUCUGUGGAAUAUUCGGGGAAUAUUCUGGGAAUAUUCGGGGAAUAUUCGGGAAUAUUCUGGGGAAUAUUCUCUCUCGGCUGCGGCUGGAAUACGGCUCGGCUCGGCGCGGAGGACGGCUCGGCUUGUGGCUCGGCUGGACUCGGCUAUCGGCUCGGCUGGCGCUCGGCUUAGGCGGCUUACACGGCUCGAAUAUGGCGCGCGUGGACGACACUCGUCGUCUUCCUCUGGAGCGCGUGGGUGCGCGUGGGUGACAGUCACCGGAUCUUCAGACGGCGCGUGUGGAUCACCCCGGACUCCGAUCAGGCUGAUUUUUGCGGCAGUGAACUCGUCUUGAUGAGCUCUACACUAUGGAAUGAUCAAAACUUGUUUUUGACAACUUUGAAAUUUCGGAUAUACCCCACAACUCUUCUGUUUUCCGACGAACGGGGCUCUGAUACCAAUUGUUGGUGGGAGGAACCACUGGUGGUGGCUUUAAAACACUCAGAGGGGAUAAAACACGAAGUUUUAUUACAAAAAACAGAAGCUUAACAAUAACAAUAAAGCUUUACAAUACACACCCUCUCUCUCUCUCUAUCUAUUGUUUUUCUCUUCUCUCCACACUUAUAAUAACCUUAGCUUAGAUGCUUAUUUAUACACAAACUCAGUCGGCUCAAAAUUCAACCGUCAUGGUGUGAAAAAUGGUUGGCGGCCAAUGGUGUGAAUGCGGCUAGGCGGUGGCAGCUGGUGGCUGGCGGCUGGUCGGUGACAGCUGGUGGCCGGUGAGGCGGUGGUUGCCUUCCUUGACCUUCUGGAUGUUGAGUUUACUAUUCAACAAAGAUGCCAUAUCAGACAGUUACAGGAUCGUGUCUUCCUCAAUCACUAAGAAUCGAAAUCAAUAACUGCUCUCCUUUUUCUCCUAAAGACAUAAAAAGAGCACCCACUUCAACAGCUGAACAUUCAUUGAGAGAAAUUGAAGUCUAAAAGUUCAAAAACCCACACAACAUAUAUUUAUUAGAAAAUUCCUCAAACUCUUAACGAUGGACAUAUACUAGCUUAAUUUGAUAUGAUCUAUCUUAAUUUGAUCACUCGUCACUUGCUACCAAUGCUAGCUUCCUAUUACUUUCAUUGCAAGAACAGUAACUAGGUGAGCAGAACGAAUUACAGAUGGCAGAAUUAAUAUGUUCAUGAAACAAACUUAUCAAACUCGUAUAUGUAAUCUUGAACAAAGAAGACGCAUGAACCAGAAAGACUUACGAACAGAUCAUAAGAACAGUUGACUUGUGUUUAGCAUCAGCAAACAAGACGAAGAAGAAGCUGCAUAUUGUUGAUGAUAAAGACGAUUUUUCUUGUCUAUUGCCUUCAAGUAAAUCUUUACAGACAAUCUGAUCUCAUCGUACUCUAAAUGUAAUCCCAGUUUUUGAUCAAGAAACAGGUGAAUGAGAGAAGACUUUGGGGUAAUCAAUACCAAGUACAUUAAUAGCUAGUCUAUCACAUCUUAGUCUUGUAUUUCAAAUAGACAACCAUGUUAACAUCAUCUCGCAGUAUUAAAUCCAUGUUAAUUUUCUUGGUGAGGCCAAAUUAGCAAACUCAACUCUGUCUUGCAUCAGCUAAAAGUCAACGCGUUAAAAGGGGUUUAAUAUAACACUUUAUUUUUAUUUUUUUAAAAAAUAAAGUUUGGCUUGGGGGGGGGGGGGGCGCUUUGUUAAUCUUGAUUAUUUAAUAACUAUCUCUCGUUAAUCUGCCGUUGUGAUAGGAACGCUCUUUCACUUGCACCACAAGAAAACCAUACUUUCUCCACAAUCAUUAAUUAAUGAGCCAACAAAGACAAGAAAAACAUAACUACAAAUUGAAACCACCGCCCCCACCUCAAACCCAUUGCAAAGUGUCAAUAAUGUAAAAUCAAAACAUUCAAAAGGUAUUUUUGUACAAUAACACAAUUCAAAACGAAUGCAAACUAAUAUUCUAGGGCCUGUUUUGAAUUGUGGUUAGAGUUGCGGUUCAAAGUAUUUUUUAUUUAAAAAUAUAUUAAAAUGAUGUUUGUUUUUUAAUUUUCAACAGGCUAAAAAAACAUAACUACAAAUUGAAACCACCACCCCACCUCAUACCCAUUGCAAAGUGUCAAUAAUGUAAAAUCAAAACAUUCAAAGUGUAUUUUUGUACAAUAACACAAUUCAAAACGAACGCAAACUAAUAUUCCAGGGCCUGUUUUGAAUUGUGAUAGCAAUUGCGGUUCAAAGUAUUUUUUACUUAGAAAUGUAUUAAAAUGAUGUUUGUUUUUUUAAUUUUUUAAAAAAUAAUUUUUGAGAUCAGCACAUAAAAAAAAUCUUAAAAUAUAUAAAAAAAUUAACAAAAAAAAUUGAAUUUUAAAAAAACAUGGAUUCAAAACCACGUUCCCAAAUGUGGCCUAACCGUUAUCAAGAGCACCUCCUCUCCCUAUCCCUUCUCCUUCUCCCCUAUUCCAAUUAAUAUGCUAAUAUAAAAAAAAUUAAAUAUUCAAAAUAUUAUUUUAAAAUAUUUUUAAGUAAAAUAUACCUUUAAAAAUCACCUUAUAUAACAGCACCAAUCUUGCAUUUUUUUUUGCCUUUUGGAUUCAACCCAUAGGCAAUGACUUUAUCUUUUGCAAAUUUAAUAAUUGUCAUAUUUGAAAGUUCAAUCCUAGUCAUUACAAAAAUAAAGAUAAAAAUAAAAAAUAAAAUAGAGACGUAACCCAAAAGAUCUUAGCCAUGCAUGAUUGGAUCUUAGCCUAACCGAGUUUCAUGGAACUCAACUAGACCUGGCUAAGGGAAGACGGUGAAAGGGAUGAGAGCUCGGUUGGGCAUAAUAGGCCUAACCUAGUUGUGGGGCCCAGUCGAUAUAUAUGUUAUAUUAUCCUAUCAUUAGUUUUAAUUUACUAUAAAAUUUAGUAACCUUCUCUAAUUUCCACAACAAGGGAUACAAAGAGUUUUUUUACAGAAUGUGCUCGGUUGGGCACAUUCUGUUUUUUAUCUAAUUAUAAAGAAAAACUUGUUUAGUUAAUAAAAAUUUUUCCUAAAUAUAAUUCUAUUUCAAAUCUUGAUUUUAUAUAAUAAUUUAUUUUUUAUUCAUAGAUAUUUGUUUAUAAUUUAUUUUACAUGUAAAAACCUGUUUUAUAGUAGUUUUAACAAAACAUAUAUGGUUUAAAUCUAUAUUUUUAAAACUGCAUUUAAAAGUUUUUUUUUUCUCUAAACCGUCACCGUAAAAACUACACACUAAAAAACUCUCUCUUUCUUUGUUUUUUUUUUUUUUUAUUAAAUCUCAAGGAAUAUUUCAAAAUUGGAUCAAAUUUAAUCAAGGUUUGUUGUUCUAUAUAAUAUAAUUAAAAAGAAAAGGAGAAAAUUAUAAUUGACUUUCUUGUAUUAUCUUAUUGAAAAUUAUUGUUGGCUCUAUUGCAUAUAACGCAAUAAUAUGCUUUGUAGUCCAAAACAAAGCUGCUUUUUAGGUUGAUCCAUGUAAGUAAAUAACAAGAGUAACUUGGACGGAUGGUAUUUUGCAAUGAAGCAACAGACGGAUGGUUUUGUAAGGGAUUGAACGUGCGUGCGUGCGAGCGAGCGGGCGAGCGAGCGAGAGUGAGAGAGAGAGAGAGAGACCUCACUGUAAAGUCUUUUGGCAUAUAGCUGAAUUUUCAAGAGAGCGUAUGCCAUGAUAUUGUUGGGUGCAGUCUCGCAACAUGAGACAAUUAGUUGAAUUCAAAAAUGUUUCCAUCAACUGUAGUUGAUGAGCUUGGGACUGUUCUCAGAGAUGUGCAGCUGUGUGCAUCUAGUUUUGCAAGCCGUGGUGGAAACUUGGUGACAUUUGAGCAGCCAGAGACAUCAACAAUAACAAUAGACUUCAACAAACAAAUACUGUCUGGAAGAUUCCCAAGUUGUUUACAGUCCCUCAAAUUCAAAGCAACGAGUCUACUCAGAUGUCCAAUAGAUUGGGGAAGUUCUUUGAUUGCAGUCUCAUUGAAAUUCAAAUACAUCACAUGCUCUGUAGUCUCUGGGUACAUCUUGAGAUUUGAGCAGCCAUAGAGGUUAAGAGCCUUGAGAUAUUUCGAUUUAAUGAUUCUUGGAAGACUCAAAAGGCUUGUGCAGCUUCUCAGAUCCAAAUCAACAAGCUUCUCUAGAAAUUGAAUAGAUGAGGGAACCACUUUCAGAGUUGUACAAAAUUGAAGAUUCAAUCUCUCAAGAUUUUUAGCCUUUGAUAGGUCUGGAAUUGUAGUUAGAUGCUCACAAUUACUAACGUUGACCUCUGUUAAAUUCACAAGAUUCUGCACCAUCAUUGUAUUGAUAACAAAAAAACAUUAGUAUCUGUACAUUUUAAAAUUCAUUUGAAAGAGGAGAAAGAUUACAUUUUAUUUUAUCCUUCAAUAUUUUAUUUAUUAAAAAUUAAGGUCUUAUUCUUUCUUCAUUUUUCUUUCAAUGGGGUUAUUUCAUUCUCAUUUUAUUUUUUUUUGUGAUCAAAUAAAAUCAUUGAGACCUUUUACAAUUAUUAAAAUGAUUUUUUCCAUGAUAUUGUUAAUCCUUUAUUUUUUGAAGUUAGUCAUUGUCAAAAGAUUUUUAGUUCAUUUUUUAUUGUUGUUGUUUUUUUUUAUUAUAUUAUCAAAUUAAUCCAACUGGGUAAAUAACAAAAAGGAUGUUAAAGUUAUGUCACACUCUACUAAAAUAAGAGAUUAAACCUAAGAACUACUAAAGCAGCUUUCUAAUUAAUUAAUGAGGUUAUGGAAACCUUUACAAAAGGUUUAAGCUCACGUUUCACAGCGAAGAUAGAUUAGUUUUCUUGUUAGAUGAUGAUUAAUAUGUAGUAGACUAGCGAAAAAAAAAAAAAAAACCUUUUUCUCAGGGUCUUCGAAUAAGGACACUAUAGAGGUUUGGUAUAAAAGGAUGAAGAAGUAGAAGAAGAAGUGUUUAGAAUCCUUUACCCUAAGGUUCAAUAGUUUUUAUAUAUCUAUAAGCUCUCACAAGUUGCUUAGAGUUAUGGGUAUAAAGAACAUUCUUCCUGCCACAUAUGAUUUUAGAUUGUCAUUAAUAUGAGUUUGUGUUAAUAUAAUAUAUAUAAGCAAUUUUCCUGUAAUUAGCUUUUUAAAAGCAUUUUUAAAACAUAAUAGCUUAAGUGUAACCUUGAGGAGUGUAUAUUAAUUGAUCAGAUUUUAAAUUUUUUUUUUUUAAAUCACCAGUUCACGUCUUACAAACCUAAAAUCAUUUAUGUAGACUUAAAGUAUAAUUCAAUAAUAAAUGAAGUCUAAGAAAUACAUUAAAAAAUAAUGGUGAAUGAAUAUCCUAAAAGCACUCGUUGCUUUUCCCUUAUCAAUAUAACUUUUAAAGUCGUUUAAUAAUUUUGAUUACAUAUAUUACCCUGCAAAGACUUUUUAUGAUGGUUUACUGUUAAUAUGAAUAUAAAUAGUAAAGAAUCUUAAUAUGUAUUUUUAGUUAGUUUAUAAUAAUUUUCUUCUUGUUAUGUGGCAGUGGCACACGUGAUAUGAUGCAGUUUGCAGUUCGACAGUGGAUGACAACACUUAAUUUUUUAUUUUUUACAAACAAUAGGUGGUCUGUAAUUUAAAAAACAAAUAACAUAUCAUAUACCACUUUAAUUCAAAAAACAAUAAAUAGAUUAAGACGAGAUAUUGUUUGUGUGCUCAUAAUAAUAAUAAUAAUAAAUUAUUCAUGAGGAUUCAAUUAACCUCAGUGUUUUAUAAUUAAAAAUUUCAAAUGUAUUUUAAAUUUUUUUUAUCAUGUUUAGUAUUUUUUUAUUUUUCAAUCACAUAAAAUAUAAAUAUUAAGAGCCUUGAGAUAUUUCGAUUUAAUGAUUCUUGGAAGACUCAAAAGGCUUGUGCAGCUUCUCAGAUCCAAAUCAACAAGCUUCCCUACAAAUUGAAUAGAUGAGGGAACCACUUUCAGAGUUGUACAAAAUUGAAGAUUCAAUCUCUCAAGAUUUUUAGCCUUUGAUAGGUCUGGAAUUGUAGUUAGAUGCUCACAAUUACUAAGGUUGACCUCUGUUAAAUUCACAAGAUUCUGCACCAUCAUUGUAUUGAUAAGAAAAAAAAUUAGUAUCUGUACAUUUUAAAAUUCAUUUGAAAGAGGAGAAAGAUUACAUGUGUAGUGACUAAACCAUAUAAUCUUUUGGAAUAUUGUGGUUUCCUUUGAAGACAGACAAACUGAAGAGUUGACCUGCUUCACUGCAAUUUAAUUCCUCGACCUCGUAUAUUUUAUCAGCCACACUCUUAAGCACUUGUCAAUCUCUGGACGUUACAAGAAUUCUACUUCCUGGACCAACAUACCAUGCCUUUCAAUUAAACAUUCCACUUGUUCUACAUCAUUCACAUCAUCUAGAACAGUUAAGACUUUUUCGUGCCGGAUCCUUUCCUUGAUUAAAGUGGAUCCCAUGCGUGGAGUGUCAAUACGUAGAUUUUCCUGCUCUAAUACUCUGGAAAGGAAUUCCAAAUUGAGUCGUUCAAUGCGUGAAUCUAUCCCAACUAGGCCCUUAGAGUCACCUAAUGAUGUGUGUUUCAAUUUUUUUCAAAAUGAAUUGCACAAUUUCACUUACGAGUUUGGACUCAGGCCACAUACAAUGGACUAGAUGAUGGCAUGUCUAGGACAAAGUGCUGGAACGAUGGACUGUCUAGGCCAAGACAGAAACACAACAACAUUAGCGGCAAGAGUGCUGAUAAUUGACCAUGUGGUUCGUGAGGGACAGACCAGGCUAUAAGAACAUAUAGGGCGGACUGGACAAGAGAGGCAUGUUGGGUGGACAGCUCAAGGGAAGCAUGGGGUGGACUUUCCAAGAAGGGUCUGGGGCAGAGCACUCAUGUGUGGAACUUGAAUUGAAUAGGCUGGAAAAAGGUUAUGCUGUGGAGUAUGCAAUAACUUGUAAGCAGAAGGUAAAUUCUGCGUAUCACACAGACGGAUUUGUGUAUUCCUUUGUCAAAAAUGCUUUUAUGUUUUAAGAAAUUAAAAUUUCAAAAUUACUUAAGAAUAAAAGAUUUUAGAAAAACAAUUUUCAUUUUUUUCAAAGAAAUAAAAUCAUGCAUGCUAGCUCUUGUAUAGUGUUAGAGCGUUUUCAAUAUGAAAUGAAAUUUUGUCAAAUUGAUUGGUAAAACUUGUUAAAAUGGCGUAUUAAAAAAAAAAGAUUUCAUGAAAAUACAUAAUAAACAUUUUUGAAAAUGUAGAGACAUAUUAGUUAAGCUAUUUACCUUUUAAAACAAUAUCUAAAAAAAACAACAACAAGUAGUUACAAUACUUCUGUAAAACCCCCAAACAAAAAAAAAACAAGAAGUGGAACUGAAAUGACUCUACCAUCCCUGUCGAUAUCGGAAUCGGCAGCAACGCAGUUUCAGGCUACCGAUAUCGAAAUCGGCAGCGAUGCAGUUUCGACUGUCGAUUUAUGAAUCGGUAGCGACGCAGUUUCAGGCUGCCGAUAUCGGAAUCGGCAGCGGUACAAUUUUGGCUGCCCAUUUAUGAAUCAGCAGCGACGCAGUGUGGCUGCUGAUUUCUGAAUCGGCAGCGAAGCAGUGUCGCUGAAAUCGACAGCAACGCAGUUUCAGGCUGCCGAUAUCGGAAUCGACAGUGAUGCAGGUUCGUUUGCCGAUUUAUAAAUCAGCAGCGCCGUAGUGUGGCUGCCGAUAUCUGAAUCGGCAGCGACGUAGUAUCAGGCUGCCGAUAUCAGAAUCGGCAGCGAUGCAAUUUCGGCUGCCAAUUUAUGAAUCGGUAGCGACGCAGUGUGGCUGCCGAUAUCUGAAUCGGCAGCGACGCAGUUUCAGGCUGCCGAUAUAGGAAUCGGCAGUGAUGUUGUUUCGGCUGCCGAUUUAUGAAUCGCCUGCGACGUAGUUUCGGGCUACCGAUUUCUGAAUUGGUAGUGAUGCAGUGUGGCUACCGAUUUUGGAAUCGACAUCGACGCAGUUUCAGGCUACCAAUAUCAGAAUCGGUAGCGAUGCAGUUUCGGUUGCCGAUUUAUGAAUCGGCAGCGACGCUGUUUUGGGCUGCCGAUUUUUGAAUCGGCAGCAACAUCAAAAAAAAAUAAUAUAUAUAUAUAUAAUAAAAGUUUUAGUGUGGGACCGACCUAUCCUGGGGGGGAGAAGGGGAAUGAAAAUCAGCUCAAGGAUAACCUAAAAGGAGGAUUAGGACAACCUUGUCCAACAUCCAAACACCCCCUUUUUGCUUUUAAGAGGGGUAUAAAUGCAGCAAGGAGAGAGAGAGGGAGACACCCUUCCUAAAAACGAGUUGGUCCCCUUCCCUCUUCCCAAAGUGAGCUGCAUGCUCUUGUCCCCUCCCCUUUCCCCCAAAAUGAGAUGCUUGUCCCCUUCCCUCUUUCCCUUUCCAAGGAAAGAGCUUGACCAAACCCCAGCUGCUAGUGCCCUCCUUAGAUGUGAGAGAAAGAAGGGAGAGCUUGACAGGAGGCUGGACAGCUGCAAACAUGAAGGGAGUAGAGGCCCAAAAAUCGGUAGGGAACUAACAAGAGGAGGAGAAAAAACGAAAGAGAGGAAGAGGAAGAAACAAUCAGGAGCAGAAGGGGAGAAAUGUUGUCAAACCCCUCCCAAAAAUGCUAAAUCCGUGAGGUAUGAACCAUGUCUUUCUCCACCUGUUCUUAAGGUCUUGAAAUCGAAAGGAAGAAGAAUAAAAAUAUGGAUGCAUGGCCUAGGAACUUUACUCCAACUGUUAUGGAAAAGAACUAAGCUAAAAGGAGGGACAAAAACGGGGCUGGAUGGGGGACCUGAUUCCAGAAUAUUUAACAAAAGAUUGUAUGAUGAAAUUGAUGAGUUCAAUGUGUGUAUGCCGCUAGAAUUCAUUGAAAGAUUAUAUGUUGGAAUUGAUGGUUUCAAUGUGUGUGUUCUGCUGGAAUUUAUUGAAAAAUUAUAUGCUGAAAUUGAUGGGUUCAAUGUGUGUAUGCUGCUAGAAUUCAUUGAAAGAUUAUAUGUUGGAAUUGAUGGUUUCAAUGUGUGUGUUCUGCUGGAAUUUAUUGAAAAAUUAUAUGCUGGAACUGAUGAUGGUUUCAAUGUGUGUGUUCUGCUGGAACUUAGUGACAGUUUAUGUACUGGAGUUGUUGCAAAGUGUAGUGUGUGUUCAUGCCAAAAUGUGGGUUGGGCAGCGAAUUUGUGAUUCGUUGCCGAAACUGAGUUUUCUGCAGCGAAUUAGUUUUCACUGCCGAAAUGUGUCUUCUGCAAUGAAUUUGUGAUUCGCUGCCGAAAUUUGUGUUCUGCAGCGAAUUUGUGAUUCGCUGCGGAAGUUGAGUUGGCUGCAACAAAAUUGUGAUUCGCUGCUGAAAUUGAGUUGUCUGCAGCGAAUUAACAUUCACUGCCGAAAUUUGUGUUCUGCCGUAAAUUUGUGAUUCACUGCUGAAGUUGAGUUGGCUGCAGCGAAAUUGUGAUUCGCUGCCGAAAUUGAGUUGUCUGCAGCGAAUUAGCAUUCGCUGCCGAAAUUUGUGUUCUACAGCGAAUUUGUGACUCGCUGUCGAAGUGGAGUUGGCUGCAGCGAAAUUGUGAUUCGCUGCCGAAAUUGAGUUGUCUGCAGCGAAUUAGAAUUCGCUGCUGAAAUUUGUGUUUUGCCGUGAAUUUGUGAUUUGCUGUCGAAGUUGAGUUGGCUGCAACGAAAUUGUGAUUCGCUAUCGAAAUUGAGUUUUUCGCUGCCGAAUUGGAAGCCCGCAGCGAACCAGUUUUUGCUGUUGAAUUGAGCAGCCUACAACGAGCCAGUUUUCGCUGCCGAUUUCUACAAUAGGCCUUCUGGGCAGAAAUGACUUAAAUUCUAGUAACAAUUUCAUGGUAUGAUGGUGUAAAAUGUGGAACACUUGAAUGUGAACCUAUGAACUCUUGAAAUAAGUGUGGUGAUGAUUGUGAAUUGAAGAUACAAAUAAAUUGAUUGUGGUCUUUGGUGUCUUAGGUGUUGUGGCCAGGAUCGGACCAUUGCCAGGACAAGGACAGACCACAAGUGGAGCAGGUAGGUGGUUUUCACCUUUUUCCCAUUUUGAUGUUUAUGUUUUGAAAUGAUUAACUUGUGAUGAGAUUUUAUUAAAUCCUUGUUGUAAGAGGAAACGAUGAAGAAGAGUUGGAUUAAAUUCUUGAUGAUUGUCGAAACGACUAUGAAAUGUCAAACAAGUUCUUGAUGAAUAUUGAAACAAUGGUGAAAAUGUUAGAGUUCUAAACUGACCCAUUUGAGGUGAACAUCUUAUUGAGUUGUGAUGAAUACUAAAUCGAAUGUGAUGUUGGGGUUGUUAUGAAUUUGAGCUACUAAUGAAUGGUAGUAUGUGUCGUACAAAGAAUCUACUUUUGUAUUCUUACUGAAUGUAAUGGUGAUGAAUGAUUGUAUGAGUAUUAUGAAAGAUCUACUAUUUUAUUAUAUUAAAUGUAAUUGUGAUGAAUGUGUUACCAAGGAUCUAUCAUUUAUUAUACUGAAUGUAAUGAUGAUGAAUGAUUGUAUGAGUGUUAUGAAAGACCUAUCGUUGUAUUGUAUUGAUGGUUAAUUACCACAAAUGGUGGUGUGAGUAUUACGGGGGAUUUAUUAUUGUGUUGCAUUGAACAUUAAUUGUCAGGAAUGGUUGGAUGAGUGAUACAAAGGGUACUAUUGUGUUAUGUUAUAUUGAAUACUAAACUGUUGUGGGAUGUUUGGUUUUGCAUUACAAAGGAUCUAUCAUCGUGUUACGGAAUGAUAAAUUACUAAGAAAUGGUGGUACGAGUAUCCCUAAGGGUCUGCUUUGAUGUUGCAAGGAAUGUCAAAUUGUCAUGAAUUGUUUGAUGAAACAAUGAUUAGCUUCGGCUAAUAGCAUCCGAGUGGAUGACCGGAACAAAUGAUUGAUUAGCUCCGGCUAAUGGCAUCCGACUGGAUGACCGGAACAAACGAUUGAUUAGCUUCGGAUAAUGACAUCUGAGUGGAUGACCGGAACAAACGAUUGAUUAGAUGCGGCUAAUGGCAUCCGAGUGGAUGACCGGAACAAACGAUUGAUUAGAUGCGGCUAAUGGCAUCCGAGUGGAUGACCGGAACAAACGAUUGAUUAACUCCGGCUAAUGGCAUCCGAGUGGAUGACCGGAAAAAACAAUUGAUUAGCUUCGGCUAAUGCCACCCGAGUGGAUGACCGGAACAAAUGAUUUCGGCUAAUGACAUCCGAGUGGAUGACCGGAACAAACGAUUGAUUAGCUUCGGCUAAUGGCAUCCGAAGGGAUGACCGGGGUAAAUGAUUGAUUAGCUCUGGCUAUUGGCAUCCAAAGCAGAUGACUGGGAUGAACAAAGAUUAGCUCCGACUAAUGGCAUCCUAAAUGGAUAAUCGAGAUUAAUAAACGAUUAACUAUGGUAAUGACACCAUAUAUGAAUUACUAGAAUGAAUAAAUGAUUAGCUUUGGUAAAUGGCAUCCUAAAUGGAUAAUCGAGAUUAAUAAACGAUUACCUAUGGUAAUGACACCAUAUAUGAAUUACUAGAAUGAAUAAAUGAUUAGCUUUGGUAAAUGGCAUCCUAAAUGGAUAAUCGAGAUCAAUAAAUGAUUAGCUAUGGUAAUGACACCAUAGAUGAAUUACCAGAAUGAAUAAAUGAUUAGCUUUGGUAAAUAGCAUCCUAAAUGAAUAAUCGAGAUCAAUAAAUGAUUAGCUAUGGUAAUGACACCAUAGAUGAAUUACCAGAAUGAAUAAAUGAUUAACUUUGGUAAAUGGCAUCCUAAAUGGAUAAUCGAGAUCAAUAAAUGAUUAGCUAUGGUAAUGACACCAUAGAUGAAUUACCAGAAUGAAUAAAUGAUUAGCUUUGGUAAAUGGCAUCCUAAAUGGAUAAUUGAGAUCAAUAAACAAUUAGUUAUGGUAAUGACACAAUAGAUGAAUUACCAUAAUGAAUAAAUAAUUAGCUUUGGUAAAUGACAUCCUAAAUGGAUAAUCGAGAUUAAUAAACGAUUAACUAUGGUAAUGACACCAUAGAUGAAUUACCAGAAUGAAUAAAUGAUUAGCUUUGGUAAAUGGCAUUCUAAAUGAAUAAUUGAGAUCAAUAAAUGAUUAGCUAUGGUAAGGACACCAUAGAUGAAUUACCAUAAUGAAUAAAUGAUUAGCUUCGGUAAAUGGCAUCCUAAAUGGAUAAUCAAGAUGCAUAAAUUACUAGCUUCGGCUAAUAACAUCCUAGGUGGAUAAUCGAGAUGAACAAAUGAUUAAUUACGACUGAUGACAUCCUAAAUGGAUAAUCGGGAUGAAUAAAUGCUACCUUCGACUAAUAGCAUUCCAAAUGGAUAAUCAGGAUGAAGAAAUGACUAUCUUCGACUAAUGGCCUCCCAAGAGGAUUGUCGGAUUUGAGUGUAUGAGUUAGUUUUAAGAAGAAUUGAUGUGGUCAUGUAUACUACGUUUCGUAUAUACUAAGUAUAUGAAAGGACUAUAAUAGUUAUGCUUUAACCAAAGAAAAACAUUAAUUCGGCUAAUGACAUUCGAGAUCAAUGAUCGGGUUUGAGUACUAAAAUUAGCCUCGUUAAUUGAUGGAUUAUUAACGAUGGUAUUUACAUAAGUAAAGGGAAAUUAAAGAAUUAUGCUUUUUGGUCCAUGAAUAAAAUAUGACUUUAAUCCUGUUUUAUUAUGUUCUUAAAUGACCUACAAUGCUUAAAAUUUCCUUGUAUUGUAACAGGGACAUCAUAUCAAUAUGGUGCGUAAGGAAAUUCAUUUCGUGGCUCACACAUUUCGAUAUAUGUGGCUCACACAUUUCGAUAUAUGUUUUCUGGAAGAUUCACCAGGAGUUUGCAGUUCUUCAAAUAUAACGUAACAAGUCCAUUGAGUUCCCCGAUUAAUUGGGAAGCUCUUCAAUAGCAGUCUCAUUUAAAUUUAAAUAUGUCAGUUUCCUUGCAUUCUCUGGGCACUUCUUGAGAUUUGCACAACCAGAAAGGUUCAGAGUCUCCAGACAACUUGAAUUAAUUCUACUGGGAAGAUUGAUUAGUCUUUUGCAGCAUCUCAAAUCUAAAUCAACAAGCUUGUCCAGAUGCUGAAUAGAUGAAGGAAACAUAACCAAACUUUUACAGAAUUGAAGAUUCAAUCUCUCAAGGUUUCUGGCCUUUGAAAGGUCUGGCAGGGAAGUUAUGUGCUCACAAUUGCUGAGGGUGACAUCUUUUAAAUUGCCGAGAUUCUGAAGCAAAAUGAAAUCAACAGAAAGAAAUUACACGUGCAUACCACACCAAAUUUCAAAGAAAGAACUAUGCAUGCAUAGAGUUAUUUUAGAAUACCUGGUCUCCUCUCCACAGUUGCUUAACCUUGCUAGAUGAUAGGUUAAGUUCAACAAGGUUCUGUGGACGAAAAUUGCAAGGCAAAGAUGUCAAAGGGUAUCCAUCCCAAUGGAGAUACCUCAACUCAUGAGAAAGAGACUCGAGGCCACUAGGAAGGUGCACUGUGCAUUUAUCUCCAGCUACAGAAUUAUAAAUUUUUAGCAGUCUAAGAUUAUACAACCUUGCGAAGGCUGUAGAACUCAACUCUAUUUCUCUUAUUUCUGAAACAUUCAAGAACAUCCCUUCAACGUUUUCAGUUCUUAGUUUUGAAACAUCCAGGAAUAUCCCUUCAACUUUUCCAGUUCCCUGAAAAACAGUAAAGGAGAAGCAAAGUUUAAUUAAUAUUUUAAACGUACAAGUACAACCAUAUGGCAUUGCAUAGGAAACAGAAAACUUUGGGGUAUAUGAAUCUCACCAGAUUAUUGGUCAACACUUGAUAUGCAUCUUUUGGAUUCCACAAUCUGCUCUGUCUUCCUAGCUCGUCAAGAGAUUCUUUAUGAACAACUUCAUGGGCCAUUUCUUGCAAAAGAUCAUGCAUUUCAACCUUGUCAUCUGAAAUUUUAAUGAGACACCUGUCAAUGAGAACACUAAAUCCAAUAUCUGUUUUGAAACCGCAGCCAUCUAGUAUCCGCUUUACAAAAUCAACUUGAUGCCCUCUAAAGAAACAUGCAAUGUUCAGAAAUAUACUCUUCGUGUUAUUAUCACGUAGUGCAUCAAAGCCUAUUCUCAGCAAGUCAAAAAUGUUCAGCUCGGGAAAGCUUUCGAUCUCAUUUAAUUGAGAUUCCCAAAAAUGUCUUUCUCUACUGAACAAGAAGGAACCCAAAACUUGAAGAGCUAAGGGGUUGCCUUUGGCAUAAUUUAUUGGGGGGUGGUUUCCCUUAAAAUAACUGCUGCCCCAAGAGACAACGUGGGCCGUCAGCUCUUGUCUUUUAAACUCCAGACUGCUUCGGUGGUUAAUUUGAGACUUUAUUAAUAUUAGGAUGAAACUAGAUCGGGUUUUAAAAAAAUAAAAAUAGUUAAAAAUUUAGUUGACUUAGCUAACUAGUUGGUUGAUCUCAUGAUAUGGUUGAUCUAAUAAAACUCGGUUAAAAAUCAAGUUGCAAUCUAUUAAUUAUUAUUUUUUAUAUCAAAACAACAUCAAUUCGAUUGACAAAAAAAAAAUUAAUAUUAGCUCGGGUGACUUAGUCAUCCGGGCUGGGUUUAAAAACACAAAUCUCAUCUCUUCAGGGCUUGCUUUUUUUUAGCCAAUUCAAUAUAUAAAGAAAAUAUUGAAUCAGUGAAUACAAUAUUAAAAAAAAAAAAAACUGAAUGAUAAAUAUAAUAGAUUCUUAAAUCUGAGCUGCAUAAAUUAGGAUUCGGAAAUGGACGAAUAUUUAUAAAAUUUCAAUCUAAUUAGAAAGAUCCUCACGGAUAUUUUUAUUAAACAAAUUGACAAUCAUAAUUUAUGAAUACUUCUUUCAUAUGAAUUCAAAUACUUCAUUGUUAAAAAAAAAAUUGAACAUAUUUUAUAAUUCCUUCCACUUUAAGUGAUAAACUAUAAUAAAACACAGCACACCCAUACAUAUAUACUCAUUAUUUGUUUAUAUAUUUCUUAAGAAAAUAGUAAAAUAUAAAUAUGUACAAGAUAAGUUAAUAUUUAAAUGAGAUAUCAUUAAUUUAUCAUAUUUGCAUUCCUUAGGUUGCAAAUUACAUAGCAAAUCCUCUUAUAUUUUUUUUAAAUAUAAGUUUUUAUCAUCUUAAAUGGUUAAAUUGCUCUUAGUUUUUGGUAUAUUUGAUAAGAAAUUCCUCCCUUCGUUUUCUUUUUCCGAAUUUCUUUAAAUAUAGCUUUUCAUGAGAGUGAGAUUUAUUUGAUUUUGACAAAUUAUCUAACAAUAAUUAGAUCCAUAUGAGGAGCUCUUACGUUGGUUUUUGUAAAAUUUUAAAGUUUUUCUUUGUUUUAAAUUAAUAUUUUUUAGAUAUUUUUAAAUCGUUUUAAUAUGUCGAUAUUAAAAAUAAAUUUUAAAAAAUAAAAAAAUAUUUAUUAUUUUAAAAUAUUUUUAAACAAAAAAUAUUUUAAAAAAUAACCGCUACCACAAUAUUAAACGGGAUCUAAACGAGCACAAAUAAGUUUUUGUUUUACCUUAGCACAGUUGACUAGAAUUAACAAAAUAACAGAUUUCAUAAGACAUUUAAGAAAAUAGCAUUGCUUAGAUGCCACUUGCUUAUUAAAUGCACUACAAAAAAUUACAUGAGAAGAAAAAAAAGAGAGAAAAAAAACCUCAAAUGUAUAUUGAAGCUUGAAUGAUGUCACCAUCAUUACUAUAAAAUAUAUAUCAUUAAAAUGAAUCUAAGAAUAUCAAAACAAAUCAUCAAAAUUAUUUUAUUUAUAAUUUUUUUAUGAUGAUAUUUCAAGGAAAAUUUUAUUAACAAUUUAUAAAAUCAAUAAAAUAUUAUAUAAAUGUUGAAAAAAAUAUUUUGUCGAAAUUCUCUGUAGUGAUAUAAAUAUUUUUUUCACGUUUAUGAUUUUACAUGUGAAAUAUCAUUUAAUUUGCAUAGACACCUUCCAAGAAAAAGUCGAAGUCCGCCACCAUAGGUCACAUGCAUAAUUUUUGUAACAUGCUAAAUUUGAAAAACCAACAACCCUCUCUCCGAACCCUUAGGUCUAACCCUAGUUCUGAAUUUAUAAAUACCUUCUUUCGUCUGUAUUCAAAUACUUCAUUAGGAAAAGAAAUUAACAUACACUUUAAGUGAUAAACUAUAAUAAAACACAGCAUACCCACACAUAUAUACGCGUACAUAGAUAUAUACGUACAUCUAUAUGUAUAUGUCGUCAAUAUUAUUAAAGAAAGUUAAAAUGAGUGACUUUAACGUUGUUAUUAUCCUUCUAAAUGACACCUAAUUAAUAAUUUAUUAUUUUUAAAAAGGAUUAGUUGUGCUUAAUUUAAUUUAGAUAUUCAUACUCAUUAUUUGUUUAUAUAUUUUUUUAAAAAUAUUAAAAUAUAAAUAUGUGGAGAUAAGUAAAUAUUUCAAUAACAUAUCAUUAAUGUAUCUUUAAAGUACAAUUGAAAGAAAGAAAAUAUAUAGAUAGGUUUUCAAAAAGUAUAGUUCUUAGAGAGCAAAGAACAGUAACUUGCUUGAAAAACUACAAACCCAUCUCUCUCUCUCUCUCUUUUUUGGAGAUUUUUUAUUAUUUUGAUAACUUUUGUUUUUUUUUCAUUUAUAAAGAAAAAAACAUUGAGUUAGACAAAUAAUCUCUACAUUUACACUCAAUUUCAUUUAUAAAGAUUUAUUUUUAAUUUAUUUUAUUAUAAAAUCAUUUCAUAAUAAUUUUAAUCAAACACAUUUUUUUAGAAUUAUAAUUAAAAUUAUUAUUUUUUAUUUAUUUUUAACCGCAAUAACUAUACAAAUGUGGAGAACAGAAAAAACUAGGAGAUGGGGCCUUACGAAAUCUUCAUCCGAAAUAGAGUUCAAAAAAUUAUUAUAACUCAGUUUAGUAUUAGUAGCAGCUACUACUACUAAUAACAUGAUAGUUAAUUAUAACUUGUUAAAAUGAUAUACUAAAAAAAAAAAUAUCAAGGAAAUACAUAAUAAAUAUAUUUGAAAACGUAGAUACAUAUUAGUAUAAUGAAGGUAUUUCCAUUCUAUGCUAUCAUUGAAAAGUACAAUAUUAAAAUAAAAAAAUGCUUGCAAGAAAAUAAAAGCUUGUCGUCAUAUUAAAAUAUAAUUAUUUAAUCCUUAUGAUUUUAAAUCUAUAAUUAACAUAAUCUUAUUUUAUUAAUUUCAUAUCUUUUUUUUAUUUUUUUAAAUAAAAAUUUAAGUACAUAGGAUAUAUAUAUAUAUAUAUAUAUAUAAGUUAUAUUUCUUAGCAAAUGACUUAAUUAACCUUUGUCAAUUCUAGUAAAAAUCAUUAAUUUUUCUAAACUAUAAGGUCUAAAUUUUAACAACAACAAUAAUAUACUAAAAUAUGUACUUGCAAUGGCGGAGCUAGGAAUUUUUUUUAUCCUAGGCUAUAAUAUAAAUAUACAUAAAUUAUUUUUUAAGAUUAAUUAUUAACUUGUAUAUAUAAAUUUAUCAAAUUAAUAAUAAAGUUUCAAUCCAAAUACAUAAUACAAAAUAUAAAUAAAAUAAAAUCUAAAGUAUAUAAAAUUGAAAAUAAAAAUAAAAUACAAUAUCAAAGUUGCAUCAUUCGAUGUUUUGUAGAAUAAAAUUCAUCUAUAAUCGAAUCCGAAUCAAUAUCUUUAACAAGCUCUCGUUCAAUGUAAAUCAUUAUAAAAUACGUUAAGAACUACUCUUUUAUUUUAUUGCGAAGCACAGUUUUAACAUGUUUUAUAGCUAAAAAUAUCCGCUCUGUAGUGGCAGUGCAGGUAAAGUCAAAACAAGAUGAAUCAACUUGUCAAUCAAAUGAGAGUACUGUGACUUCUUUGUUUUAACUAAUCCUCGACAUAAUUCAAAAAUUAUAGACAUUAGGGGUGAGCAAAAAAACCGAAAAACCGAUUAAAUCGAGAAAAUAAAAAAUAAUAACUGAAAAAACUAAAUCAUAAAAAAACUAAUUAAACCGAUUAAAAUUUUGAAAAAAUUAACUGAUUCGGUUUUGGUUUUAUAAGCUUGAAACCGAAAAAACGGAGCCAAACCGAAAAAAUCAAGCCUACCGAUUUGAAUUGUUUUAAAAAACCAAACCGAAUCAAAAUUGUUCGAUUUGAACAGGUUUUGGUUCGAUUUAGGUUUUUUUCAAAAAAAAAAAUUAAUUUGGUUUGGUUAUUUUUUUUUAUAAAAACCGAACCGAACCGAAAAUGAUCACUCCUAAUAGACAUAUUCUGAAAGCUUUUAUGAUGAAUCAUAUCAAUCUGAUAAUAUUCUAGCUAAAAUUUUAAAUAAUACAUUUCUUGUUCAUUGAAAUCUUCAGGAUAAUUUUUUAGCUAGAAUUUAAUGAGUUGAGAAUUAUAGACAUUAACUUAAAUUUAGGUGAUUUGUUUGAGUUUAUUUUUUUAUUUCAGUUUCAUCCUUCAACAUUUAAUUUAAUUUUUUUUUUUAAAGUGUGGGAAAAAACUCAAAAAUUAAGUUGUGUUUUUUUUUGAAAAGUUUACUAUGCAAGAUAAUUGAAAUUUUUGUUAAAAAUAAUUUAGUGGUCGGUAAAAAAAAAUGAUAGAACUCCAUUUGCUUUUUGGUAUGUUAAAACCAAACUUGAUAGAUAUUUUAUUUUCUAGCUUUUGUUGUUCUUGAAAAUAUGCUUCUUUAGUAACUAUGGAUUUUUUUUAUUUUUUUUUCCCACCUGGGCUACAGCCCUCCUCAGCCCUCUAAGUACCUCCGCCCUUGUGUACUUGCACUCAAAGAUAAGUAAGUUUGUUAAAUUAUGCAAAAGGGAAAGAAUUAAUCUUGGAUUGGUACAUGAAAUGAACACCAUCACAUAUAAAAAUAAAUAAGAGAAUAACCCAAUUGUCAUCGUCAAUUUUUUUUGGACUCGGCAGCAAUUCGCCCCACUGUAUCCUUGUCAAAAUAAUUAUUAAAUUAUUUCUACCGUGAAACCCAAGUGUCACAUUAAAUAUACCAUGUUUAUCUUUGGCAUCAAGUAGACGAACCCCACACUUAAACAUCUAAUGCUAAGAGAAUGCCGUUCAUAUCUUCCGGGUGGAAUUCAAUGUAUUUACUAAACAUAUCAUUUUCUUUGACAACCAGACAGGGAUCCAAUCCCACAAAUAUAUGUGAUAGCAAUAGAGAUCAUGGCUAUCACCGUGCUCAUUGCGGAAGUGAUACGUGCAUUUAACUUGCAAACUAUGGCUGAAAUAAUGAAAUGCAAUGACAGCGCAAAGAGAGAAACCCAAGAACUCCCUAUUAGCCCAAUGUGAAGAUAGCUGGAAUGUUACUGUAGAUCCCCAAUUUUGAUGGCUAAACCACUCCGGAGUUACAUCUCCAGGGAGGCAGAAACUAAGUGGCAUAGCUGGAACACAGGGCUCCUCCUGUUAACACAAUUUCAAUAGCAUCUUUUUUAAAAUGAGACAUGACAAAUAGAGAAGAAAAGAAAAAAAGCAUAACAGAGGUUUGAGAAACAGACCUGAUGGUAUAACUCUUUGGGAUAAAGUUGAAAAUCUAAUGAGUUCGCCAACUUGGAAAACAUACCGGACAUGACAAUAUAAUCCUCCCAGCAUGAGGCUUGGAACCUUGCUCUCUUGCCUUGGAACCUUGCUCUCUUGCCUUGGAACAUUGCUUCCAAUGCAUCACAAUAAUAGUCGAUGCAAUGUAUUCCAUCUUCAUACAGUAGACGGAUCCCACACUCGUGUACUUAACAAAGAUCUAAUGGUAAGAGAUUGCCAUUCAUAUCUUCCAGUUGGAAUUUAAUUGAGACCUUACUAUAUUCACUAAAUAUAUCAUCUUCUUUGACAACCAGGCAGGGAUCAAAUCCUAUGAGUAUGUGAUCUGAGUCAAUGCGCUUCUCAUCAUACCAACCAUGGAGAUAGCAAUAGAGAUCAUGGCUAUUACCGUGCUCAUUGCUGAAGUGAUAUGUGCAUUUAACUUGCAAACUAUGGCUGAAAGAAUGAAAUGCAAUGACAGCGCAAAGAGAGAAACCCAAGAACUUGCUAUUAGCCCAAUGUGAAGACAGCUGGCAUGUUAUUGUAGAUCCCCAACUUUGAUGGCUAAGCCACUGCGGAGAGACACCUCCAGGGAGGCAGAAACUACAUGCCCCUUCUGGAACAUCGGGUAGCUGCUAACACAAUUCAAAUAGCAUCUUUUUAAAAUGAAAGGUGGCAAAUAUAGAAAAAAAAAAGAUGUGUAUCAGAGGUUUGAGAAACAGACCUGAUGGAGCCUUUUGGUAUAAAGUUGAAAUUUCAUUAAUGAGUACGGCAAGAUUUGAUUGAUCCUACACAAGCUCAAGCAAUUAGUGAAAAUGAAUUCAAAAAUGUUCCCCCCAACUACAGUUGAUGAGCUUGAUUCUAGAUAAUUCAAACUCUCGCAAUUGUCUGCAUCCAACUUUGAUAGCCGUGGUGGAAGCUCCGGUAAUGAUUCAAGUCUCUUGCAAUUCCUUAAUCCUAGAUAUUGCAACUCCAAGAGUUCAUUGAUGCUUAUAGGUAUAGUCUUAAAAUUGUUUCCACUUAGAUCUAACACUUCCAGUGACGAUAGAAAACCAAGACUGUCUGGCACUACCGAUAUAUGGCAACCAUCUAGAUUUAGCUUACGCAAACAAUUUAAACUCGAAGCGUCCAAAACAUUCGAUGUCUUCUAGAUAUUUGCAGUUUCCCACUUCCAAGCAGGCAAGUCCCUUCAGAUUUCCAAUCGGUGAAGGCAACUUUGUUAUGCUUGUCUGUUCCAAAUAGAGAUAUCUCAAACAUACCAUCGGCUCCAAAACUUCUGGAAAAUUUCUAAAUUGGAGGCAACCUGAGAGAUUAAGCCUCCACAGUUUUCUCAACUUGCAGAUGCUGCUUGGAAGAAUCUCAAAUUGUUUGCAGUUUCGCAGGUGCAAUUCAGCAAGUUCAAACAAACAUUCUAUUGAUGAGGGAAUCUCUCGUAUUGCUGUCCCAUCUAAAUACAGCUCCUUUAUAUUAUUUGAAACCUUUGGAAACUCCGUGAUACUUGAGCAACCGGAAAGAUCUAAAUAAAUGAGUUCCCUUAGAUCACCAAUUGAAGAUGGCAGUUCUUCUAUUGCAGUUCCAUUCAAGUACAAGUAUCUUAUAUUCCUCGAAAAAUCAGGAAGCCUGCUGAUAGAUGAGCAGCCAGAAGUCAGCAAUUAGAAGAGAUUUCAACAAAUAUAUGUUUUCUGGAAGAUUAACCAGGUGUUUGCAGUUCUUCAAAUUCAACGCAACAAGUCCACUUUGUUCCCCAAUUGAUUGGGGAAGCUCUUCAACAGCAGUCUCAUUUAAAUUUAAAUAUGUCAGUUUCCUUGCAGUCUCUGGGCACUUCUUGAGAUUUGAACAACCAGAAAGGUUAAGACUCUUCAGACAUCUUGAAUUAAUUCUACUGGGCAGAUUGAUUAGGCUUGUGCAGCCUCUCAAAUCUAAAUCAUUAAGCUUGUCCAGAUGCUGUAUAGAUGAAGGAACCUUAACCAAACUUGUACAGAAUUGAAGAUUCAUCUCUCAAGGUUUCUGGCCUUUGAAAGGUCUGGCAGGGAAGUUAUGUGCUCACAAUUGCUGAGGUUGACAUCUUUUAAAUUGACGAGAUUCUGAAGCAAAAUGAAAUCAACAGAAAGAAAUUACACGUGCAUACCACACCAAAUUUCAAAGAAAGAACUAUGCAUGCAUAGAGUUAUUUUUAGAAUACCUGGUCUCCCCUCCAUAGUUGCUUAACCUUGCUAGAUGAUAGGUUAAGUUCAACAAGGUUCUGUGGACGAAAAUUGCAAGGCAAAGAUGUCAAAGGGUAUCCAUCCCAAUGGAGAUACCUCAACUCAUGAGAAAGAGACUCGAGGCCACUAGGAAGGUGCACUGUGCAUUUAUCUCCAGCUACAGAAUUAUAAAUUUUUAACAGUUUAAGAUUAUACAUCCUUGCGAAGGCUGUAGAACUCAACUCUAUUUCUCUUAUUUCUGAAAAAUCCAACAUCCCUUCUACUUUUUCAGUUCUUAUUUUUGAAACAUCCAGGAAUAUCCCUUCAACUUUUCCAGUUCCCUGAAAACCAGUAAAGGAGAAGCAAAGUUUAAGUAAGAUUUUAAACCUACUAGUACAACCAUAGUGCAUUGCAUAGGAAAGGGUAAACUUUCGGGCAUGUGAAUCUCACCAGAUUAUUGGUCAACACUUGAUAUGCAUCUUUUGGAUUCCAUAAUCUGCUUUGUUUUCGUAGCUCAUAAGCAGAUUCUUUCCGAACAACUUCAUGGGCCAUUUCUUGCAAAAGAUCAUGCAUUUCAACCUUGUCAUCUGAAAUUUUAAUGAGACACCUGUCAAUGAGAACACUGAAUCCAAUAUCUGUUUUGAAACCGCAGCCAUCUAGUAUCCGCUUUACAAAAUCAACUCGAUGCCCUCCAAAGAAACAUGCAAUGUCCAGAAAUAUACUCUUCUCUUCACUAUCAAGUGCUUCAUAACUUAUUCUCAACACACUAUGAACUUUUUGCCGAGUUAGUUUUUCAUCCUUGUUCAAUGCACUUUCCCAUUCUUUUGUCGUUCUGCCAAAUAGAAAGGAACCUAAGACUUUAAGAGCUAACGGAUUCCCUUUAGCAUAAUUUAUUGCCCUCACAGACAGCUCCAUAUAAUUGUAUGGGAGCUGGUUAUCCUUAAAUGCAUGCAAACUAAAGAGAUGAAGGGCUUCCCGGUAAUUCAGUCCCUCAACCUCAAAUAUUUUGUCUGCAUAUUUCUUAAGGACCUGUUUAUCUCUAGAUGUUAGGAUAAUUCUACUUCCUGGACCAAAAUCACAUCCUCCAAGUAACAUUUCAAUUUGAUCUACAUCAUUCACAUCAUCGAAAACAAUCAGAACCUUUUUACGGCUGAUCCUGUCUUUAAUGAAAGGGUGUCCAAUACGUGGAGUGCGAAUAUGUAGAUUUUCUUCCUCUGUUAUUUUAGAGAAAAGUUCAUCUCGCAUACGAAAUAAUCCUCCAUUCUUUUCUGAUUCCCUCACAUUUGCAAGAAAAUAGUGACCUUCAUAUUCCCUUGCGAUCUUGUUGAAAAUCUCUCCAGCAAUGGUUGUCUUACCACUACCACCCAUGCCCCAAAUUCCUACAAAACAAACCUCCGGUAACUGUGUGCAUAAUAAGGCUUCGAUUUGCUUCAUACGUGAAUCCAUUCCAACCAGGCCCUUCAAAUCACUUGAGGAUGCAUAAUUCAAUUUCUUCAAAAUAUGAAGUACAAUUUGUUCCACGAGUCUCGACUCAGGCCUGCCAACAUGGAGGCGAACAGAUAUGUCAAAUAGUACAACUUGUGUGACGGAUUCCAAUUGCCAUACAUUAUAACACACAUACAUGUGAAAUCUAAAUUUACAGAUGCAUGGAAAAACUAUACUUUAAACUGCUCAUUUGGUAACAUUUAGAAGUCACAUAACAUAUUAUAAAGCUCAAAACAUAUGCUUCUGAAUCCAAAAAUAUGAUUAUCAACUUCAAGAAAUUUUAAUUGCUAUAAAUAAAUUUUAAUUGCUAUAAUUCCAGAAAAAAAAAGGUUGAAGAUGAGAAUCUAUAGUUACCUAGUAACCUGUGAAUCCCAUCCGGAUAUAUUGGCAGCACUUGUUAAGUCAGCUCUCCACCUUGGAACCUUGUCCAUCUUCUGCUUAAAAUUUCUUUCAAGCUCAGCAAACGCAUUCCCAAAACUCCCUGUCUGUUCGUCAACAUCGGACGGGUCCACAUGAUAGAAAACUGGUAAAACAAUCUGCCCGUAUGCCUUCUUGCAUUCAAGUAUCUUCACUAGUUCAUCCACACACCAUGGAGAAGAUGCAUAGUUUCUUGAGAAUAUUAUCACUGAAAUUCUCGAUUCUUCAAUUGUUCUCAAAAGUGCACCGUAAUUUCUUCUCCCCUUUCAAGUUUGUCGUCAUGAAGGUCUUGAUUUGUUUACGACACAGAGCAUCAUAGAGAUGGCUGAUAAAAUUAUCUCGCGUAUCCUUACCUCUGAAACUAAGAAACACAUCAUACUUCCAUUUUAGCAACAGCAGAUGAAGAUGCCAUAUCAGACAGUUACAAGAUCGUGUCUUCCU
RNAcentral lists this long non-coding RNA (28912 nucleotides) under Populus tremula. Its description in RNAcentral is "long non-coding RNA (PTRE_LNC001640)". The record is from RNAcentral. Lineage: Eukaryota; Viridiplantae; Streptophyta; Magnoliopsida; Malpighiales; Salicaceae.